UGACCUCAAAUCAGGUAGGACUACCCGCUGAACUUAAGCAUUUCUCCCAAAUAGCGAGCCUCAGGAAGGAUGUUUUUAAUUCCCAAAGAG
Molecule: ribosomal RNA, 90 nt
Filed under: Candida albicans
Lineage: Eukaryota; Fungi; Ascomycota; Pichiomycetes; Serinales; Debaryomycetaceae
Description: partial 26S ribosomal RNA
Source: RNAcentral